Molecule: ribosomal RNA, 460 nt
Filed under: uncultured bacterium
Lineage: Bacteria
Description: partial 16S ribosomal RNA
Rfam family: Bacterial small subunit ribosomal RNA
Source: RNAcentral
CCUACGGGAGGCAGCAGUGAGGAAUCUUGGUCAAUGGACGAGAGUCUGAACCAGCCAAGUAGCGUGAAGGAUGACUGCCCUAUGGGUUGUAAACCUCUUUUAUAAAGGAAUAAAACGAGGCACGUGUCCCUUCUUGCAUGUACUUUAUGAAACAGGAUCGGCUAACUCCGUGCCAGCCGCCCAGGUAAGACGGAGGAUCCGAGCCUUAUCCGGAUGGAUUGGGUUUAAAGUGAGCGAAGCUGGGUUGUUAAGUCAGUUGUGAAAGUUUGCGGCUCAACCGUAAAAGUGCAAUUGAUACUGGCAGUCUUGAGUACAGUUGAGGUAAGCGGAAUUCGUGGUGUAGCGGUGAAAUGCUUAGAUAUCUCGGAGAACCCCGAUUGCGAAGGCAGCUUACUAAACUGUGACUGACAUUGAUGCUCGAAAGUGUGGGUAUCAAACAGGAUUAGAUACCCUUGUAGUC